This 545-nucleotide ribosomal RNA is filed under the name Pichia kluyveri. Its description in RNAcentral is "partial large subunit ribosomal RNA". It matches the Rfam family "Eukaryotic large subunit ribosomal RNA", at positions 94 to 657 of the family's 3401-position model. The record is from RNAcentral. Lineage: Eukaryota; Fungi; Ascomycota; Pichiomycetes; Pichiales; Pichiaceae.
UGAAGCGGCAAGAGCUCAGAUUUGAAAUCUCACCUAGUGUGCGAGUUGUAAAUUGCAGGUUGGAGUCUCGGGUUAGACGUGUGUGCAAGUCCCUUGGAACAGGGUGCCACUGAGGGUGAGAGCCCCGUAGCGUGCAUGUCGACACCUGUGAGGCCCUUCUGACGAGUCGAGUUGUUUGGGAAUGCAGCUCUAAGUGGGUGGUAAAUUCCAUCUAAGGCUAAAUAUUGGCGAGAGACCGAUAGCGAACAAGUACUGUGAAGGAAAGAUGAAAAGCACUUUGAAAAGAGAGUGAAACAGCACGUGAAAUUGUUGAAAGGGAAGGGUAUUGGGCUCGACAUGGGAUUUACGCAUCGUUGCCUCUCGUGGGCGGCGCUCUGGGUUUUUCCUGGGCCAGCAUCGGUUUUCGUUGCAGGAUAAGGACAAUUGGAAUGUGGCUCCUCGGAGUGUUAUAGCCUUUUGUAGAUGCUGCGUAUGGGGACCGAGGGCUGCGGCGGACUCGUUUCGUCUCGGAUGCUGGCACAACGGCGCAAUACCGCCCGUCUUGA